AAGAGUAUGUUACUAAUUAAUUUAUAACCGAGUGAAAAGAGUAAGAAAUAUAUAUAUAUAUAUAUAUAUAUAUAUAUAUAUAUAUAGAGAGAGAGAGAGAGAGAGAGAGAGAGAGAGAGAGAGAGUUGUGCUGGUAUGCUUAUGGAAGCACGGAGGCCUCCAUGCUUCCAAGUCGUUUUUGAUGUUGGGACUUUCGAAUCGACGAUCGGCUCCGUUAGAUUUGAUCUAGAGUAUUUGAAGUACCUAGAAAAUAAAUUUUGCGAUUUUUCGAUAUCAUUUGCCUAGUGAUCGAAGGGGCUCAAAACCAAUAAUUUUAACAGUCGUGGUGAGCCGGUUGUAAGUUUAAUAGUGUAGAAAUAUCCAAAUCACGUGAAAUUUUAAUAGAAAUUUCUUUGUACUAUAUAAAAUAAGAUCAAUAUCUUCGAUCUAAAUUUUUAAUGUCAUAUCAUCACAUUUUGUGAAAUUUUUAUUUUCAGCCGUUGAUUUUGAACCCCUUCGAUCACUAGGCAAAUGAUAUCGAAAAAUCGCAAAAUUUAUUUUCUAGGUACUUCAAAUACUCUAGAUCAAGUCUAACGGAGCCGAUCGUUGAUUCGAAAAUCUCAACAUCGAAAACAAAUUGGAAGCACAGAGACCUCCGUGUUUCCAUAAGCAUACUAGCCGCACUCUCUAUAUAUAUAUAUAUAUAUAUAUAUAUAUAUAUAUAUAUAUAUAGUUGAGCUCGAAUGCUCUCAAAAGCACCAACCUUUGGUCUUUUGAGUUUCUAGUCCUUGGAUCUACUCCUUGAAUAUUAAUAAUUUUUUGAUCAAAUACUAUUUCACCUACCACCACUUACCACCAUUAUCUUAACCCUACAUCUUUCCAUCCAAUAGCUAAAAACUCAAAAGCAUAAACCUCUUGGUACUUUUAAGAAUAUUCUAGCUCAUCUCUCUCUCUCUAUAUAUAUAUAUAUGUAUAUAUAUAUAUAUGUAUGUAUACCUUUUUAUCAUUUUCUCUUGUUGUUUGUCCUUGGACUGCAUGUCCCUCCAGAAAUGUCGAAGACCUAUAAAUAACUUGGAUAAAAGUUCAGUGGGAACUCUCUAAUGAAUUUGUAAUCAGAGAUUACUUGAGGAGGCUUCCUUGGGAAGCUCACUAUAAAGUUUUUUGGGUAAACUUCAAAUGCCAACCCCGUGGUUGGUUUUGCACUUUUUCACUUAAAUACUCUCUGGUUUAAAGUGUAUCAAGUUAGCGUCAUGUGAUUUCAUGUUUAUCUUUCGUUAGAUUCUUCGUUAAUAUUUCGUUAAAUUAUAUACAAAAAACUUCAGAUACUCCACCUAACUUUAUCAAAUAUUCACUUUAGUAUCAUUUAGUUUUAACUUUGUCACUGAUUUAACGAAAAAAAUUAACGAAAUCGAUAAUUAAAAGAUAAAAAUGAAACCACAGAACACAAAAUUGAUACACUUUAACCACAAGGCACUAAAGUGAGAAAAUGUGAAACCACAAGGAUGAUUUUUGAAGUUUUUUCUUUUUUUUUUUUUUUUAA
RNAcentral lists this long non-coding RNA (1519 nucleotides) under Ananas comosus (pineapple). RNAcentral's name for it is "long non-coding RNA (ACOM_LNC033945)". The record is from RNAcentral. Lineage: Eukaryota; Viridiplantae; Streptophyta; Magnoliopsida; Poales; Bromeliaceae.